GCACAGUGCAGCUUCUGAGAAUAGAAUGCUGGAAGAAGAAUGAAACACAGAAAAGAGAAAAACUGAGCAGCCAGGCUAAAAUGUCUUCAGAAAUGUUUUAAUAAAUGUAAGAAGUAUCAAAGUUUCCACAGAGUGGAACAACUGGUAGGUUUCACUAAAGAUUGCUGGCACAAGCAAAGUGCUGAGAUCGAAGAGGAGGCUGUGACUCAGGAGGACGUGGGACUUAGAGUGAUAUAACUGAAUACACCUUUUGAACAAGUUUGUGUAAAUGAGAGUGAGCUUAGAAAUCUCUUUUAAUUGAUGAUCUGUACAUCUGGAAUCCACUCCUGAAGAAUAAACGUGCUGAAAAAAUAAUCGAAGUCUAAUUCUGUACUGUUAGUUACGACUCCUCUUCAUCUCCAUGGACAGUUACAGUGUAUUGGCAGCAAAACAGAGGCCUCCAACUGAACACAGUCUGACCUGUUGAAGAGCUUGUUGCAGUACUCCGGGACUGGGCCAGGCACACCUGGAGCUCCAGAGGACAAGGGAGAAUGAGGAAGAAAAUGUUGAGAAGACCAAGAACAUACAAAAGUAAGAAGAAGCAGCUGAAGAGGAGAAAGAUCUGAAAAGGUAAAAAUGACAACUGGCCAGUAGCACGGUAAAAAAUGAAAUUAAACAGCAGAAAGAGGCACAUGAGUCUUGGGCUUGGAAACAUGCACUGAAUCUCAUGAUUCUUGAGAGUUCUUUUAGUCUCUUUUUACACUAGAUAAGGAUGGGAAGGAUUCAGCCUGGUACAAGGCAGGAUUGGAAGGCAAUGGAUUGUUCCAGUCUCCUCUCUCGUCCUAUCUGGGGAAAUCUUGGAGUGAAAUUUCUUAUUUUCCAUAUGAAAACUUUACGUACAAUGGAUUUCUUUUUUUAAUUUCAACUAUAUGUCAAGGAGUAGUGUAGCAUGUGUCAAGUGAGGAAAUUCUGAAAUUAAUCAGGUCCAAUAAAAAACUGUAAGGGUAAAUACUUAUCUGUUAAACAUGUUCUCCAAGAGAUGAGACACAGAUGUAUGCCUGUGUCAUGAGUUUCACAUGUUGCAAAUGUGCACAAAAUUACGUUCCUGAUUCCAAAUGAUCUGAACUGAUAUUCAUACUGUUGCAGUAGUAAUGUUUUAAUUUAAUGUUGCAUUAUAUUCCCAGAGAAAGUAGGAGCAUAUUUCAGAAAACAAUAAUAUAUAAUAGAUUGAAAAUUAUGGGACAGACAUGACCUGCCUUGUUCAUCUUCAAGUCAAAAAUUAUGCAGCUGUGAAUUGAUUAAUUUGUCUUUAUGACUACAGAAGUAAUUUUGAGUGAGUGAGAAGUCUACACAUACAUGAGAUCCCAAUAUAAGCAUUUCUUAGAAGAAAUCGCAGAAUCAUGGAAUAUUUUGCUUUGGAAGGUGCUCACAAAGG
Corvus hawaiiensis (hawaiian crow) is the source of this 1414-nucleotide long non-coding RNA. RefSeq lists it as uncharacterized. The transcript has 4 exons. The record is from RefSeq and is a predicted model, not a curated record. Lineage: Eukaryota; Metazoa; Chordata; Aves; Passeriformes; Corvidae.